GGCCGCGGGAAUUCCUUUCAGGCCUAACACAUGCAAGUCGUACGCAAUUGAUCCACUGAGUGCUUGCACUCACCGGAUCGUUGAGUGGCGCACGGGUGAGUAACACGUGGGUAACCUGCCCACCAGAGGGGGAUAACAGUCGGAAACGAUUGCUAAUACCGCAUAGGUUGAACGACCGCAUGGUCGCUCAAGGAAAGACGGCUUUGGCUGUCACUGGUGGAUGGACCCGCGGCGUAUUAGUUAGUUGGUGAGGUAACGGCUCACCAAGACAAUGAUACGUAGCCGACCUGAGAGGGUGAUCGGCCACAUUGGGACUGAGACACGGCCCAAACUCCUACGGGAGGCAGCAGUAGGGAAUCUUCCGCAAUGGACGAAAGUCUGACGGAGCAACGCCGCGUGAGUGAAGAAGGUUUUCGGAUCGUAAAACUCUGUUGUUAGAGAAGAACAUGUCUGAGAGUAACUGUUCAGGCAUUGACGGUAUCUAACCAGAAAGCCACGGCUAACUACGUGCCAGCAGCCGUGGUAAUACGUAGGUGGCAAGCGUUGUCCGGAUUUAUUGGGCGUAAAGCGAGCGCAGGCGGUUUCUUAAGUCUGAUGUGAAAGCCCACGGCUUAACCGUGGAGGGUCAUUGGAAACUGGGAAACUUGAGUGCAGAAGAGGAGAGUGGAAUUCCAUGUGUAGCGGUGAAAUGCGUAGAUAUAUGGAGGAACACCAGUGGCGAAGGCGACUCUCUGGUCUGUAACUGACGCUGAGGCUCGAAAGCGUGGGUAGCAAACAGGAUUAGAUACCCUGGUAGUCCACGCCGUAAACGAUGAGUGCUAAGUGUUGGAGGGUUUCCGCCC
Molecule: ribosomal RNA, 842 nt
Filed under: uncultured bacterium
Lineage: Bacteria
Description: bacterial SSU rRNA
Rfam family: Bacterial small subunit ribosomal RNA
Source: RNAcentral